RNAcentral lists this ribosomal RNA (253 nucleotides) under uncultured bacterium. Its description in RNAcentral is "partial 16S ribosomal RNA". It matches the Rfam family "Bacterial small subunit ribosomal RNA", at positions 524 to 776 of the family's 1533-position model. The record is from RNAcentral.
UACGGAGGGUGCUAGCGUUGUUCGGAAUUACUGGGCGUAAAGGGCGCGUAGGCGGCCGUUUGCGUCGGAUGUGAAAGCCCGGGGCUCAACCUCGGAACGGCAUUCGAUACGGGACGGCUGGAGACCGGGAGAGGAGAGUGGAAUAGCCAGUGUAGAGGUGAAAUUCGUAGAUAUUGGCUGGAACACCGGUGGCGAAAGCGGCUCUCUGGCCCGGUUCUGACGCUGAGGUGCGAAAGCGUGGGGAGCAAACAGG